Molecule: microRNA precursor, 97 nt
Filed under: Loxodonta africana (African savanna elephant)
Lineage: Eukaryota; Metazoa; Chordata; Mammalia; Proboscidea; Elephantidae
Description: miRNA (ENSLAFG00000023691.2)
Rfam family: mir-503 microRNA precursor family (bases 17-85)
Source: RNAcentral
GGCCCGCUCUCAGCCGUGCCCUAGCAGCGGGAACAGUACUGCAGCGGGCGCUCGGCUCUGGAGUAUUGUUGCCGCUGCCCGGGCAAGGCUGGGACUC